This 253-nucleotide ribosomal RNA is filed under the name uncultured bacterium. Its description in RNAcentral is "partial 16S ribosomal RNA". It matches the Rfam family "Bacterial small subunit ribosomal RNA", at positions 524 to 776 of the family's 1533-position model. The record is from RNAcentral.
GACGUAGGGGGCCAGCGUUGUUCGGAAUUACUGGGUGUAAAGGGUUCGUAGGCGGUGUAGCAAGUCGGGAGUGAAAUCUCUGGGCUUAACCCAGAGGCUGCUUCCGAAACUGCUGUGCUUGAGUGUGGGAGAGGCGCGUGGAAUUGCAGGUGUAGCGGUGAAAUUCGUAGAUAUUGGGAAGAACACCGAUGGCGAAGGCAGCCAUCUGGACCGACACUGACGCUGAGGCGCGAAAGCGUGGGGAGCAAACAGG